RNAcentral lists this ribosomal RNA (253 nucleotides) under uncultured prokaryote. RNAcentral's name for it is "partial 16S ribosomal RNA". It matches the Rfam family "Bacterial small subunit ribosomal RNA", at positions 524 to 776 of the family's 1533-position model. The record is from RNAcentral.
UACGUAGGUGGCGAACGUUGUCCGGAUUCACUGGGCGUAAAGCGCGCGCAGGCGGACGGGUAAGUCUGAGGUGAAAGCUCCUGGCUCAACUAGGAGAGGCCCUUGGAUACUGCUCGUCUUGAGACAUCUAGAGGAGAGUGGAAUUCCCGGUGUAGUGGUGGAAUGCGUAGAUAUCGGGAGGAACACCAGUGGCGAAAGCGGCUCUCUGGGGAUGUUCUGACGCUGAGGCGCGAAAGCGUGGGGAGCAAACCGG